Molecule: non-coding RNA, 86 nt
Filed under: Ditylum brightwellii
Lineage: Eukaryota; Bacillariophyta; Thalassiosirophyceae; Lithodesmiales; Lithodesmiaceae
Source: RNAcentral
UAGGCGUCUUUCCGACCUCAAAGCGCUGACGCCAGAUCAAAUUACCCGUAUGGGAGUCGACAAUUUCGACAGUCGCGAACUAGUGC